CGGAAGAAGUCGGUUUGCUUCCUUUCUCUAAUAGGUAAUCAGCACUCCGCAUCUUCUUGAAUGCCUCUACAUCUGCAGCUGUUGCAGCAGGACAAUCCCUCCAUCACACAAGGACAUUUCCGGCCAGCUCGCGCAGCGUCAGUGUCAGUGUCGAAUGGUAUGCAAGACGACACACUUUGCCCUUUCUUAUUUCUUCCACAAGAACAGGUUUUUCUUUGACCGUUCGAAGCGGCCUCAUUGGCAUUUUCUGUAAAGAUAAAAUAAAAUAAGAUAAAAGAURAAAUAACAAUGAAACAUUUGUUAUCCAAACUUCGUAUGACUGUAUUUCAAAAGACUAUAUUUCGAUCAAUUCACGAAUCACGCGCUUUUUUCCCCGUGAAUUAAAACUGAAUAUAUCAAAAAAUGCAUGAAUGAGAACUUAUGAUAUCUCGAAUCAUGCACUCGCGGAUUUAAGUCAAAUAACAGAUCACGUAAAACCCCUUCCAGUCCCUGAUAUGAUAUCGUUCAAAUUACCUUCAUCGUUGUUCAGCAAUGAAGUAGCGUCGUAAUGACCUGGACCAUAGGCAUUAAAGGACAUGCAUAGCA
This is a long non-coding RNA of Actinia tenebrosa (Australian red waratah sea anemone), 585 nucleotides long. RefSeq lists it as uncharacterized. Lineage: Eukaryota; Metazoa; Cnidaria; Anthozoa; Actiniaria; Actiniidae. The record is from RefSeq and is a predicted model, not a curated record.